GGGGGGGGCAAGCGUUGUUCGGAAUUACUGGGCGUAAAGGGCGCGCAGGCGGUUUCGUCAGUCAUGGGUGAAAGCCCCGGGCUCAACCCGGGAAUGGCCUGUGAAACCACGGAACUGGAUGCUGGAGAGGGAAGCGGAAUUCCCAGUGUAGCGGUGAAAUGCGUAGAUAUUGGGAGGAACAUCGGUGGCGAAGGCGGCUUCCUGGACAGACACUGACGCUGAGGCGCGAAAGCCAGGGGAGCGAACGGGAUUAGAUACCCCGGGUAGUCCUGGCUGUAAACGAUGAAUACUUGGUGUAGGGGGUAGGAAAGUCCCCUCUGUGCCGAAGAGAACUCGAUAAGUAUUCCGCCUGGGGAGUACGGCCGCAAGGCUG
This 373-nucleotide ribosomal RNA is filed under the name uncultured organism. RNAcentral describes it as "partial 16S ribosomal RNA". It matches the Rfam family "Bacterial small subunit ribosomal RNA", at positions 527 to 896 of the family's 1533-position model. The record is from RNAcentral.